This is a long non-coding RNA of Paramacrobiotus metropolitanus, 1757 nucleotides long. RefSeq lists it as uncharacterized. The record is from RefSeq and is a predicted model, not a curated record. Lineage: Eukaryota; Metazoa; Tardigrada; Eutardigrada; Parachela; Macrobiotidae. The transcript has 3 exons.
AGCAGUACUGUAAGUACUUGCGAUAAGCCGCUAAGGUAGUAAGGACGUCGCCGCAAAGGACUACGCUGUAUACUAAUGCAACAACAACAGCAACAACAACAAGGUCGUUAACGUGUCACAGACUCACAACCACGUACGAACAAACUAAAGCGUACGAAUGUUGUCUAAGCGGUUCACCAUGUGUGGCUACCUGUUCUGACCAGCUCACCAUGAGCGUAGCAUGACUAGACAUCUUUAUCGGAAGAUGCCCAUUCUGUUUCUAAACUUGAUUUUAGUUUUGGUCUUUCGUCCGUUCGUACGGAACGUACUAAUAAAGUUAGGCCUGGGAUCUGGCCGCACAGUAAACUGGUGUUUCUCGAUUCUGGUAAUUGUAAUCACAGCUUUCUUCGUGACCUUGCAUCCUUUUCCAACCUGAACAGUCGUAAGCUCCCUCGAAGCGCUGAGUAAGCAAUUCGAGUUGAGUUGCUUUAAGAGCAUCGUUUUAAUAUGUACGAGGACAUCUUAUUUAUGAUACCACAAAGCCGUGUGGAGGUACGAAAACUUUGACAUAAUGACACCAGAUGUCGCGCAAUCUCAAACACUUCCGUGGAUCCCAGCUGGCUCGUGCAGAAGCUUGGAUCAGGAUUCGGAUUACUCAAACUUGGACCUCGAUUACUCCAACUUGGAUUCGAAUUACCUGGAUUUGGAUUUCUCAUCUCGGACUUGCAUCACCUGACUCGAACUACUGAUUACUUAACCUGGAAUUGGGUUGACUUUGAUUACCAUACGGAAGUUGAAACAGCUUCAGCGGAGCGCACAAACUCGAUCCCAAACGAAAUUCUGGCAACAAAGUUUGAUUGCAGCAGUAGUUUAUUACUCUGCGAUCAACCACCAGCUAAAUUUAAACCGUGUGUAUCUAGAUUGGAAUGCGUCACAAGUUCAAUUACGAUACAGCAACUCCACCACGGCAGGUGGCUUCCGGUGCAGUAUCUGUUGGCGUGGCCGGUUGAGGAACCGCACCAUAGCGAGAUUCGCUUGGAGACCUAUCCUACGGGCAGUUGGCGCGGGUUCGAGUCCCGUCAUCGGCAGAUUUUCGUAUCUUCAAUGCACAAAAGAACGGAAAAAUGAGUGCGAAGGAUCAAGUAAGGGCAAGAAAUACGUUCCAAACCGUUCAUGAGAGCCACCUACGAGAAAGAGGAUCACAGAGGAUUUCGGAAAGGCGGUAAAUGGGCCAAGAAAAAGAAGCCGAAGAAGACUAAACUGAAGCUUCCAAGAGAGGUGAAAAUUACCAUUUCCUGAGGAGAUGAAGAAUCCAACCCGAAAAGUUUCUCGGAUAACCCUUUGUCAAUGUCCUCACAAUACCUAAUGAUAGCCUGGCGUACGUGAAGAGUGACGGAGGACCCCCUACACCGUUCUCCGAUGAUAAAAUAUGGAUAUUGGAAAAUAUCAAAUUGGACAUAUCCCAUAUUAAUUCGCUUUGCCAAUCCGGAGACAACGACAAUAUCGCUCGGGCGUACAGGACCGGGAUCAACGUCAACUUCUACGACGCUUGUUACAAAACUCCUCUGAUGUGUGUGCACUAACGGUUAGAACACCAUUAAUUGCUAUCUUCCUCAGGUUAUAAUGUAAUAGUUAUAAUGAAUUACUGCAAAAUGGAGCAUUGGUUAACGCCCAUACGCUAAGCGGAGCAAGCCCGUUAUUAAAAGCCAUAGAAAGAUGUUGCGUGACAAACGGGGCUGAAAACCGGCCCCGUGUGUCAUCUUUGCGGCCUUUCUGUU